Molecule: ribosomal RNA, 468 nt
Filed under: uncultured bacterium
Lineage: Bacteria
Description: partial 16S ribosomal RNA
Rfam family: Bacterial small subunit ribosomal RNA
Source: RNAcentral
GACGAACGCUGGCGGCGUGCUUAACACAUGCAAGUCGAACGGAAAGGCCCUGCUUUUGUGGGGUGCUCGAGUGGCGAACGGGUGAGUAACACGUGAGUAACCUGCCCUUGACUUUGGGAUAACUUCAGGAAACUGGGGCUAAUAUCGGAUAGGAGCUCCUGCUGCAUGGUGGGGGUUGGAAAGUUUCGGAGGUUGGGGAUGGACUCGCGGCUUAUCAGCUUGUUGGUGGGGUAGUGGCUUACCAAGGCUUUGACGGGUAGCCGGCCUGAGAGGGUGACCGGCCACAUUGGGACUGAGAUACGGCCCAGACUCCUACGGGAGGCAGCAGUGGGGAAUAUUGCACAAUGGGCGGAAGCCUGAUGCAGCAACGCCGCGUGCGGGAUGACGGCCUUCGGGUUGUAAACCGCUUUCGCCUGUGACGAAGCGUGAGUGACGGUAAUGGGUAAAGAAGCACCGGCUAACUACGUG